GGGUCGGGCGGUGGCGCGGUUGGAGGUGUUCGCACCUCACGGACGUCGCCCUGCUGGACGCGGCCCUGCGGGGUUGGGACGUGGCGGGGAAGGACGCGCCUCCUGUCCGCGGAGCCGUUCUAACAAGCAGGCGUUCGGUUCCUUAAGCCCUUUCUGCUUGGAAGCCCCGCCAUCGCCGCCCUGCGCUCGCCCCGUUUUGCCGCGCUGCCGCCUCGGCCGCUGCUGAUCACGGGCGGUCGCUCCGGCCGCGCCGCUCCGUCGUUCCGCCGGGCUGAUGGGGGCAGCAGCAAAAGCGAUGGUUUUUAUUUCUGGAGUGGGUGACUUCCUUCUCACAGUAAAUACAACAAUAAGUAAACACCAGAUAAAAAGCAAAGGAAAGACAAACGGGGCUCCCUUCGUCUGAUGGGGGCAGGAAAUGCCUUCCCCGAGCCCAGCUUCUCCUGCUGGAGUGAAACCACUGGCUGCGUUCUGCCCUCGGUGAUCUGUUGUGUAAGGAUAACGAUGGAUGUGAGGAAACAAAGUGAUGUGAUUUUUCUUCCCUGCUGCCCUCCAGCUCUGACCCACAUUGCACAGAACUCAGUGGUGCAGACACGCAGCCCCU
Molecule: long non-coding RNA, 601 nt
Organism: Phasianus colchicus (ring-necked pheasant)
Lineage: Eukaryota; Metazoa; Chordata; Aves; Galliformes; Phasianidae
Source: RefSeq, a predicted model, not a curated record